UAAAUUGAAGAGUUUGAUCAUGGCUCAGAUUGAACGCUGGCGGCAGGCCUAACACAUGCAAGUCGAGCGGUAGCACAGAAGAGCUUGCUCUUUGGGUGACGAGCGGCGGACGGGUGAGUAAUGUCUGGGAAACUGCCUGAUGGAGGGGGAUAACUACUGGAAACGGUAGCUAAUACCGCAUAACCUCGCAAGAGCAAAGAGGGGGGACCUUCGGGCCUCUCGCCAUCAGAUGUGCCCAGAUGGGAUUAGCUAGUAGGUGAGGUAAUGGCUCACCUAGGCGACGAUCCCUAGCUGGUCUGAGAGGAUGACCAGCCACACUGGAACUGAGACACGGUCCAGACUCCUACGGGAGGCAGCAGUGGGGAAUAUUGCACAAUGGGCGCAAGCCUGAUGCAGCCAUGCCGCGUGUGUGAAGAAGGCCUUCGGGUUGUAAAGCACUUUCAGCGGGGAGGAAGGCAGUAAGGUUAAUAACCUUGCUGAUUGACGUUACCCGCAGAAGAAGCACCGGCUAACUCCGUGCCAGCAGCCGCGGUAAUACGGAGGGUGCAAGCGUUAAUCGGAAUGACUGGGCGUAAAGCGCACGCAGGCGGUCUGUUAAGUUGGAUGUGAAAUCCCCCGGGCUUAACCUGGGAACUGCAUUCAAAACUGACAGGCUAGAGUCUUGUAGAGGGGGGUAGAAUUCCAGGUGUAGCGGUGAAAUGCGUAGAGAUCUGGAGGAAUACCGGUGGCGAAGGCGGCCCCCUGGACAAAGACUGACGCUCAGGUGCGAAAGCGUGGGGAGCAAACGGGAUUAGAUACCCUGGUAGUCCACGCUGUAAACGAUGUCGAUUUGGAGGUUGUGCCCUUGAGGCGUGGCUUCCGGAGCUAACGCGUUAAAUCGACCGCCUGGGGAGUACGGCCGCAAGGUUAAAACUCAAAUGAAUUGACGGGGGCCCGCACAAGCGGUGGAGCAUGUGGUUUAAUUCGAUGCAACGCGAAGAACCUUACCUACUCUUGACAUCCAGAGAACUUAGCAGAGAUGCUUUGGUGCCUUCGGGAACUCUGAGACAGGUGCUGCAUGGCUGUCGUCAGCUCGUGUUGUGAAAUGUUGGGUUAAGUCCCGCAACGAGCGCAACCCUUAUCCUUUGUUGCCAGCGAUUCGGUCGGGAACUCAAAGGAGACUGCCGGUGAUAAACCGGAGGAAGGUGGGGAUGACGUCAAGUCAUCAUGGCCCUUACGAGUAGGGCUACACACGUGCUACAAUGGCGUAUACAAAGAGAAGCGACCUCGCGAGAGCAAGCGGACCUCAUAAAGUACGUCGUAGUCCGGAUUGGAGUCUGCAACUCGACUCCAUGAAGUCGGAAUCGCUAGUAAUCGUAGAUCAGAAUGCUACGGUGAAUACGUUCCCGGGCCUUGUACACACCGCCCGUCACACCAUGGGAGUGGGUUGCAAAAGAAGUAGGUAGCUUAACCUUCGGGAGGGCGCUUACCACUUUGUGAUUCAUGACUGGGGUGAAGUCGUAACAAGGUAACCGUAGGGGAACCUGCGGUUGGAUCACCUCCUU
This 1544-nucleotide ribosomal RNA is filed under the name Pectobacterium carotovorum subsp. carotovorum PCC21. RNAcentral's name for it is "bacterial SSU rRNA". It matches the Rfam family "Bacterial small subunit ribosomal RNA". Lineage: Bacteria; Pseudomonadati; Pseudomonadota; Gammaproteobacteria; Enterobacterales; Pectobacteriaceae. The record is from RNAcentral.